This is a long non-coding RNA of Oncorhynchus tshawytscha (Chinook salmon), 303 nucleotides long. The record is from Ensembl. Lineage: Eukaryota; Metazoa; Chordata; Actinopteri; Salmoniformes; Salmonidae.
GGGGCUCUGAGGUCCCGGAACACAUAGUGGCCGUGACGACACGAGGCGGGGCUCUGAGGUACCGGGGCUCUGAGGUACCGGAACACAUAGUGACCGUGACAAUGGGAGUGGGGGCUUUGAGGUAGCGGAACACAUAGUGACCGUGACGAUGGGAGUGGGGGCUUUGAGGUAGCGGAACACAUAGUGACCGUGACGAUGGGAGUGGGGGCUUUGAGGUAGCGGAACACAUAGUGACCGUGACGAUGGGAGUGGGGGGCUUUGAGGUAGCGGAACACAUAGUGACCGUGACGAUGGGAGUGGGGG